AUUGAACGCUGGCGGCAGGCCUAACACAUGCAAGUCGAGCGGAUGAAGGGAGCUUGCUCCUGGAUUCAGCGGCGGACGGGUGAGUAAUGCCUAGGAAUCUGCCUAGUAGUGGGGGAUAACGUCCGGAAACGGGCGCUAAUACCGCAUACGUUCUGAGGGAGAAAGUGGGGGAUCUUCGGACCUCACGCUAUCAGAUGAGCCUAGGUCGGAUUAGCUAGUUGGUGGGGUAAAGGCCUACCAAGGCGACGAUCCGUAACUGGUCUGAGAGGAUGAUCAGUCACACUGGAACUGAGACACGGUCCAGACUCCUACGGGAGGCAGCAGUGGGGAAUAUUGGACAAUGGGCGAAAGCCUGAUCCAGCCAUGCCGCGUGUGUGAAGAAGGUCUUCGGAUUGUAAAGCACUUUAAGUUGGGAGGAAGGGCAGUAAGUUAAUACCUUGCUGUUUUGACGUUACCAACAGAAUAAGCACCGGCUAACUUCGUG
This 484-nucleotide ribosomal RNA is filed under the name uncultured bacterium. RNAcentral describes it as "partial 16S ribosomal RNA". It matches the Rfam family "Bacterial small subunit ribosomal RNA", at positions 30 to 507 of the family's 1533-position model. The record is from RNAcentral.